GGAACCUUAGCUCAAUCGGUUAGAGCUGUCGGCCCAUAACCGACUGGUUGCAGGUUCGAGUCCUGCAGGUUCCA
This 74-nucleotide transfer RNA is filed under the name Lachnospiraceae bacterium. RNAcentral describes it as "tRNA-Ile". It matches the Rfam family "tRNA". Rfam says of the family: Transfer RNA (tRNA) molecules are approximately 80 nucleotides in length. Their secondary structure includes four short double-helical elements and three loops (D, anti-codon, and T loops). The record is from RNAcentral. Lineage: Bacteria; Bacillati; Bacillota; Clostridia; Lachnospirales; Lachnospiraceae. RNAcentral also lists the same sequence under 5 other names.